This 280-nucleotide ribosomal RNA is filed under the name uncultured bacterium. Its description in RNAcentral is "partial 16S ribosomal RNA". It matches the Rfam family "Bacterial small subunit ribosomal RNA", at positions 506 to 784 of the family's 1533-position model. The record is from RNAcentral.
UGCCAGCCGCCGCGGUAAUACGGAGGGUGCGAGCGUUGUUCGGAAUUAUUGGGCGUAAAGCGCGUGUAGGCGGUCUGUUAAGUCUGAUGUGAAAGCCCGGGGCUCAACCCCGGGAGGCCGGUCGAAACUGUUGUGACUAGAGUUCGGUAGAGGUGAGUGGAAUUCCCGGUGUAGCGGUGGAAUGCGCAGAUAUCGGGAGGAACACCAUUAGCGAAGGCGGCUCACUGGGCCGAUACUGACGCUGAGGAGCGAAAGCGUGGGGAGCAAACAGGAUUAGAUA